GGAGUUAAAAGCAGGGAAGCAAGCUCUCUGAGAGAGGGGCCUGAGCGAGACCUUAGCUAACCAGGGAAGAGACUGGGAGACCCUGAGGGAAAGUAAAGGAGCAAGUGGAUAAAGCAUUGAACUGGGCUUCAGUAGACUGGGAUUCUGCCAUUAGCUUGCUGAGGAUCUUUGGGAGCCAGAGCUGGCAAAAGUCCCCUAGCAGCACCAGAGGAAAAGUCUCCACACAAAUCAACAUUGACUAAACAACCUGGAGAGAAAAAAAGGAUUAAUCCCUCAACAUGGUAAAUAAGAGCUUAAGCAUCAGCUACAAAUUUCCUGCUGGUCCAUUUAAGAAAAAUACACAAAAUCUUAAGAGAAACAAAUCAGAAGAGGAAAAUAAUAUUUCUCACAAUAAGAUGAUCUCUGAAAUUCUUAUAUCUUAUAAGAACAGUCUCAAGUACUGUCCUGAAUUACAAACUGAAUGGGCAAAAAGAAUCUUCUACAGACAAAAAGCAACAAAAAACAAACACACAAUAGAAAAUGCUGAAAGUGACUAGGCUACUCCCAACAAUAAAGUAUGGAAAAUCUCAUCCAGUGAUUUUAAAAAUUCAGAUGAACUCAAGCUAACCUAAUCAAAACAGCUCUGUGAGCCCCAACUUGCAGGAAAGAAAGGGGGUGUAGGGAAAUCGGUUGCAAUGCUGCGGUUAUUCAAAACAUAUGUGGAUUUUCUUUUAACACCUUUUUAAAACAGUGUCCCUUUUAGGUGUCAAGCUUAAUAAAACACUUGUUCUCCAAAACUCAGGAUGAAUUAGAGAGAGGAGGAGAAAUAAAAGCCACACUUUUUAUAGUUACAUUUUUAUUGAAAUUUAAACACUCGAGUGAAAGAGAUUUACAUAAAAGAACCUGACCUACGUGAUAUACAGUACAUGACUGAAAAUUGCUUCUUGGUUGUUCAUGAAGUUUCAGCUUGACUGGCAGGUACAAUGUAAAAACAAUAUAUGAGCUCUGCUUUCAUUUAAAUUUGCACCCUCACCUGUCACAUUGUAUUAUAUAUAUUUUGUUUAAUAUUUUACAACAGCAAUAAUCACCUCCAAGAACAUUAGUGCAGUAUUCUUAUAGAGCAUAACUUAACUUGCUAAAAGAGACAGACUUUUGGUUUCUUUACUUAACCCUUAGCAUGCUCAUUCUCGGGGCUCUGGGAAGUUGAAAAAGUGCAUUGAAAUUAAUUAAAGUACUCUUCCUGAAUUCAGUGGGCUAUGGAUCAGAUCUUUGAAGAGGUUCCCCUGAUUUUCAAAAACACCUAUGGGAAUUAGGUGUCCAACUCCCAUUAACUCUCAAUGAAUUGGACUUUCUAAGGUGUUGUAUACCUACACAUCAUGAGGAAGUUUAGGAAAUCCCACAAAAUCGUUUAUUUCAUCAGGAAAAUCUUUUGGUCAAGAAAUUUCAACCUGCUCUAAUUUAUAAGUAUAAUGAAAGCUAUCUUCAUCAGAAAGCUAAACUGAGCCAUGUUUGAUUAAAUCUUCCACUAAACUGGCUAUUUUUAAAUGUCCCCAAAUUAUGUCUAAUGACUUGUUUUGUUAGCAUCGGGGGGAACUACAGUGGGGGUGCAGCCCCCAUCUAUCUGAGGUGUAUUGGGAACAUCUUACACAGUUGGAUAAAUGCAAAAGUUGGCAUAGUGGGUAAACUGAAAGAAAGAAACUUCACAAAUAUGGUAGCAAUGAAUGCACCGUAGCAACAGGGCCUGUUCUAAACCACAGGGAAACAUAAAGGGGCCUAUUAUUCAACUGAUAUGCAUAUGAGCUUUGUGCAUGAAAGUCUCUGUAGUUUUGAUGGGAUUUUCCUCAUUUUUAUUUGGAAUAACAAUAGGUGGAGGGAACCCAAAGAAUCAGUAUUUUAAAGUCUCCUGUUACUAGUUUCAGUGUUCCUGACUUUGAGCACACUGAAGUGGUACUUUGGAAGCAGACGCUGUCAGAAGGUGAUGAAUUAGUUCCCUCCAUGGCUGGCAGUACUUGGAGUAUCACCGACUAUUGGGAAACAAAAAAGAAUGCCAAGAAAAGAUGGAGAGUGUGAGAUUAAGAGGGGGAAAAUAAUGUAUAAGGAGAGGAAAAUGAAAAUGGAGGGGAAGAGGAAUAAGAUUAAAUAAAGUGUCAUGUCGGAGUAGAGACAAAAAGAAGAUAAAAUAAAAAUAGGAAGAAGAGAAGCAUAAUUAUAAAUCAUAGGCAACAUUUUCAAAAGUAUGUAGGUGUUUUAGGAGCCUAACUCCCAUUUUCAAAAGUGAAUUAGGCACUUUGGAACCUAUAUUCUAUUGACUUUCAGUGAGAUCUAUUCUCCUAGAUAGCUAAAUCUCUUAUGAAAAUAGGACUUAGGCUUCUCAGUCACUUACAUGACUUUGAAAAUUUUAACUCAGAGGAAAAGAGUCAGAUGUAAAAUUAAUAAUUUUCAGGAAAAUGAUUCUAAAAAUAUGCAGGUUCUGUUUAGAAAUUUACUGGCCUG
This is a long non-coding RNA of Mauremys mutica (yellowpond turtle), 2472 nucleotides long. RefSeq lists it as uncharacterized. NCBI's taxonomy places the organism in Eukaryota, Metazoa, Chordata, Testudines, Geoemydidae. The transcript has 3 exons. The record is from RefSeq and is a predicted model, not a curated record.